GGGGCUGAUUUGGUUUCGACAUUUAAAAUUAAGUAAUAUAUGAAUCAGGUCGAAGCUUGUACUCUUCGUAAAAAUCUACAAACUAUAACAUAAAGGCUAAUAUUCUUAAAUCGUUUAUCUCAAACAUCGUAAAUCGUAAUGUGUAUUCAUUACAGUUUACAUAUUAAUUGACUUUCUAGCUAGUUUCAAUAAUUUAUUCGCUAAAUCUAGUAUUUUUGAUAAAUUUAGUUUAGAAUAACAUUACUCUUUUUUGUUCUUUGAAACUAUGCCUGUGAACGAGUAUAUUAAAUUAUUUUAGAUGGACAUGGGUUCAAUUCCCAUCAGUUCC
Molecule: transfer-messenger RNA, 328 nt
Filed under: Halamphora calidilacuna
Lineage: Eukaryota; Bacillariophyta; Bacillariophyceae; Naviculales; Amphipleuraceae
Description: ssrA
Rfam family: transfer-messenger RNA
About the family: Bacterial tmRNA, also known as 10Sa RNA or SsrA, is named for its dual tRNA and mRNA-like properties.
Source: RNAcentral